This 1023-nucleotide long non-coding RNA is filed under the name Monodelphis domestica (gray short-tailed opossum). RNAcentral's name for it is "lncRNA (ENSMODG00000046637.1)". The record is from RNAcentral. Lineage: Eukaryota; Metazoa; Chordata; Mammalia; Didelphimorphia; Didelphidae.
CUGUACACUCAAGGAGCUCACACUCUAAUAUGGGAGACAACAUUCAACAAAGAAGGUACAAUCAAGAGAAACAGGUACAGUCUCUGAGAGAAAACACUAAGACUAAGGAGGACUAGAAAAGGUUUCUUGUAAAAGGUAGGACCUUAACUGAGGCUGGAAGAAAGCUAGGAAUGUCUGGAGGCAAAUAUGAGGAGGGAGAUCAUUGAAAACAUGGGCUAUCCAAGAUAUUUUUUGCCCAGAACAUGGAAUUUAUGCAAAUUUAUAUAAUUUAUAUUUGCAGGACUAGAAGCUCAUUGAGGACAGGAUUUAACAUUCAUUUCUUUGUAUUCUUAGCACCCAGUACAAUUCCUGGAACUUAGAAUUACAGUCAUCAGGAUGAAUCAGAAGUUCAUCUCUUGAGAUAUGGAAGAAACCAUAAUGACCAUGGAAGCCAAUGAGUCUACUGAUGGAUCACUUAGUCAAAAUUCAGUCAAGAUUCCAGUUUAAGGAAGAGGUCCAAUCCAGAGGUGUUUUCUUUCCUUUCCAGGCCUGUCUUGAAUGAAAUCUGACAGAAGAUGUUACAGCAGUUUUCUCUCUGGAAAUGGUUACCUUUCGGGAUUAUUCUUGGCACUCUCUUCCCAUUUGGCUCUGGCCAGCACGACGAUGUUGGUCCCAGAAAGAACUAAGAACUACAAAGAAGAGGUGGAAAUUGAUACAUGGCAAAUAUAUACUUAAUGUCUGGAACGAUUCUCAACAUUUCAUGUUAUUUCAAAAUGCAGAAGAUUAGCCUGUGGAUGUAGAAAGUUCACCUUCUAAAGAUUCCCUGGCAGUCUUUAAACAAAAAUAAUAUUCUUCCUACAUGUGGGGUAAAUAGUAGGAUUUCAAAUUCAGCUAAAGUUUUGACUGGAUGAUUUCUGAGGUUUGAUAUCCUAUGAUUCUGUGACUAUAUCCAUGAUUAUAUUUGAAAUGAUGUUGGUGGUAUAGGGUUUAGGUUUAAUAUAUUCAGUGAUCUGGGAUAGCAAUAAAACUGCCACAUAACCUCCA